Mytilus californianus (California mussel) is the source of this 743-nucleotide long non-coding RNA. RefSeq lists it as uncharacterized. The transcript has 2 exons. The record is from RefSeq and is a predicted model, not a curated record. NCBI's taxonomy places the organism in Eukaryota, Metazoa, Mollusca, Bivalvia, Mytilida, Mytilidae.
UUAUUUUUAUUUCAGCAGCACUAACUGGGCUUAUUUGGAAACCCUUAUUGCUGUCGGCUGUAGUAUGUUUAUCAAUUAUUUUGAUUGCAACAACUUUAAUCUACUGCUAUUGCCAAAAAUGGAAAUAUUUGAAGUAUUGUCAGCACACAACACAAGAAGAAGAAUCAAAUAUCGCCAUGAUUAGCCGAGUACCUGGUUCAGAAUGACAAUUGUGUUUUAUAAGCAAAACAUUCCCAACCUAACGUUAGCUUCAAUGUUUUAUGAUAGGCAUUGAACAAAAGUUUUGCCUCUACAACAUUUCUCGAUAACUACUCCGAUUCUAACAAAACUCUUGAACAGUCAUAUUGCAAAAAGUAAGCCUUGUGCAUCUUUCGCCCCUCUUUUACAUUUGUCUGCGAUAUAAUGCAUAAGCGUAGAUAUAUGUGAAAGAAACCGUUAGCCAAGAGAGUGUAUCGUAUCUUUUUGCGAAUAACGUUAUCCAUUGUGUUUCGUACUUACUAUUCUAGGUUAUGAUGAAUUUUCCAAAAUUACAUUUCUUUUCUUACUUAGACCCUAUAUAUCAGUGAGUUCUAAGACACACGUCUUUCUAUAGAAUGGUAUAUUAACACCACUCUUCGUUAUCAAAAGACUGUAACAUUGAAGGUUUUUGACGAAGAUCAUACAAAAUCGGACGAAUUUACAGUAUAAUUAAGAAAGAAUAAUGUAACAGUGACAAAAUAAAGUACAGUCGAAUUUUUUUAUAA